UUAAGUUCAGCGGGUAUCCCUACCUGAUCCGAGGUCAAACUUGGGGUGGAGGCUUCUGGAGAGCCAGGCACCGUCAGACGCCGCGCGCGUUUCUGCUGCGCUCGAAGCCAACGUGCCGGCUGCCAAUGCAUUUGAGGCGAGUCCCCGGGGAGACAGACGCCCAACACCAAGCCAAGAAGGUGGGCUUGAAGUUUGAAAUG
RNAcentral lists this unclassified non-coding RNA (200 nucleotides) under Lophiotrema sp. RNAcentral describes it as "partial internal transcribed spacer 2". The record is from RNAcentral. Lineage: Eukaryota; Fungi; Ascomycota; Dothideomycetes; Pleosporales; Lophiotremataceae.